GAUGAACGCUGGCGGCGUGCCUAAUACAUGCAAGUCGAGCGAACAGACGAGGAGCUUGCUCCUCUGACGUUAGCGGCGGACGGGUGAGUAACACGUGGAUAACCUACCUAUAAGACUGGGAUAACUUCGGGAAACCGGAGCUAAUACCGGAUAAUAUAUUGAACCGCAUGGUUCAAUAGUGAAAGACGGUUUUGCUGUCACUUAUAGAUGGAUCCGCGCCGCAUUAGCUAGUUAGUAAGGUAACGGCUUACCAAGGCGACGAUGCGUAGCCGACCUGAGAGGGUGAUCGGCCACACUGGAACUGAGACACGGUCCAGACUCCUACGGGAGGCAGCAGUAGGGAAUCUUCCGCAAUGGGCGAAAGCCUGACGGAGCAACGCCGCGUGAGUGAUGAAGGUCUUCGGAUCGUAAAACUCUGUUAUUAGGGAAGAACAAAUGUGUAAGUAACUAUGCACGUCCUGACGGUACCUAAUCAGAAAGCCACGGCUAACUACGUG
RNAcentral lists this ribosomal RNA (497 nucleotides) under uncultured bacterium. Its description in RNAcentral is "partial 16S ribosomal RNA". It matches the Rfam family "Bacterial small subunit ribosomal RNA", at positions 28 to 507 of the family's 1533-position model. The record is from RNAcentral.